UUUUUGAUAAUAAUUUAAAGUAAGGCCUGCCCMCUGAAAUUUUAAAGGGCCGCAGUAUUUUGACUGUGCAAAGGUAGCAUAAUCAUUAGUUUUUUAAUUGAAAGCUGGAAUGAAUGGUUUAAUGAAAAAAUAGCUGUCUCAUUUUUAAUUUUAUAGAAUUUUAUUUUUAAGUUAAAAAGCUUAAAUAUUUUUAAAAGACGAGAAGACCCUAUAGAGCUUUAUUAUUAAAAAUUUAAUAUAAUUUAGUAUUUAUUUUUAUUAAAUAAUUUAAUAAUUGGAUUGGGGUGAUUGAAAAAUUAAGUUAACUUUUUUUUUAUUUAUACAUUAAUUUAUGAAUAUUUGAUCCAAGAAAUUGAUUAUAAGAUUAAGUUACCUUAGGGAUAACAGCGUAAUUUUUUUUUAAAGUUCUUAUUAAAAGAAAAGAUUGCGACCUCGAUGUUGGAUUAAAAUUAAUUUUUGGUGUAGAAGCUAAAAAAUUAGGUCUGUUCGACCUUUAAAAUUUUACA
This 506-nucleotide ribosomal RNA is filed under the name Orcus bilunulatus. RNAcentral's name for it is "partial 16S ribosomal RNA". It matches the Rfam family "Bacterial large subunit ribosomal RNA", at positions 1826 to 2600 of the family's 2925-position model. The record is from RNAcentral. Lineage: Eukaryota; Metazoa; Arthropoda; Insecta; Coleoptera; Coccinellidae.